This 27-nucleotide non-coding RNA is filed under the name Homo sapiens (human). Lineage: Eukaryota; Metazoa; Chordata; Mammalia; Primates; Hominidae. The record is from RNAcentral.
UGGUGCAUACUGGCAUUGGCCCUUGGU